Molecule: small RNA, 1021 nt
Filed under: Malus domestica (apple)
Lineage: Eukaryota; Viridiplantae; Streptophyta; Magnoliopsida; Rosales; Rosaceae
Description: sRNA MD15G0110900
Source: RNAcentral
UUUCUUUCCCCUUUUAAAAUAAUCAGUGCACAUACAGAUGAUCCUCCCUGUAAUUUUCCACGGCUUUCUUGAACUGUGCAGUUUCCAGAAGAAUUAAACUGGCAGAAAUUUUUCAUGCAGAUACAAAAACAGUUCAAGAAAGCUGUGAAAAACCACCGGCAGGAUCUGAGUUGUUCAUAAAAAGAUUCUGAUUGUCUCCUUCAAGCUUCUAUGCCCUCCCAUGGCUACUGGUUUUCUUCUGCAGUACUUUUGCAGGAAUAUCCUCAUUCCAGCUCUAUAUAACACAUACGCUUUUGUGUUUAUGAUGUGUUUUAGCCUUUUUCUCUCUUUAUGUAUCUUUAUAGGGUUGUGAUUUCCGCACUCACUUUUUCUCCCAUUGUACUCUUUCAUGUUUUUAUUAUAGGGUUUGGAUUGAAUAAGUCCACGGAGAAUCAAGGAAAAGAAUGAAGGUGUACCGAAGGAGAAAACGCGAGUGUGAAAUUGCAAGAUUAAACCCGCAAAUUCUUGACAAGAAAGACUUGCACAUGAAUCGUAGGCUGAUCGACAACACAAUUAAAGGUCAACAGUCUUGAAUUCGAUGGCCGUACACUCAUAUUAAUCAGUGUAUUAUAGUACCAAAAUAGGCGGUUGAGUCAUUUACAAAGUGUAUUUCCCUAGCUUGAUUCCUCUUGAAGAAACAAGGCACCUAUGUCUAUGUGAUUGCAAUAUUCAUCAAGGCAGACUAUAGGCACUGAAUGAUCAGCUUCAAGCUUGUCAUGUUCUCCUAUAGGGGCUAUGGGAAAAAUAUAAGUCCUUUUCCAUAUAAGAAGGUCAAUAUUAUUAAUAGGCCGGUUUAGGGCAGAUACUAGGCCUGGUUUUAGGCUGUUAGGUCUGUAGCUCUACCCAGGCAUCCACUUUUUGUCAUGUUUGAUUUUCUUUUCUGAACGCAGGUUCAUGCUCUUUACGGAUUCUUGUCUGUGAUGUAUCAUUGUAAAACAUUGAAAGUUAAAGUAUAAAUGAAUGAGAAUAAUAACACCUUCCU